Molecule: ribosomal RNA, 254 nt
Filed under: uncultured bacterium
Lineage: Bacteria
Description: partial 16S ribosomal RNA
Rfam family: Bacterial small subunit ribosomal RNA
Source: RNAcentral
GACGAACCGUGCGAACGUUAUUCGGAAUCACUGGGCUUAAAGCGCGUGUAGGCGGAUGAGCACGUCUGUCGCUGAAAUCCCCCGGCUCAACCGGGGAACGGGCGCGGAUACGGCUCGUCUCGAGGGGCGUAGGGGGACCUGGAACUUCCGGUGGAGCAGUGAAAUGCGUUGAGAUCGGAAGGAACGCCCGUGGCGAAAGCGAGGUCCUGGACGCCUACUGACGCUGAGACGCGAAAGCCAGGGGAGCGAACGGG